GCAGAGAUAUCGAAGCGGUCAUAACGAGGCGCACUCGAAAUGCGUUUGGGGUCCCCCCACGAGGGUUCGAAUCCCUCUCUCUGCGCCA
This 88-nucleotide transfer RNA is filed under the name Clostridia bacterium. Its description in RNAcentral is "tRNA-Ser". It matches the Rfam family "tRNA". From Rfam's summary of the family: Transfer RNA (tRNA) molecules are approximately 80 nucleotides in length. Their secondary structure includes four short double-helical elements and three loops (D, anti-codon, and T loops). Further hydrogen bonds mediate the characteristic L-shaped molecular structure. tRNAs have two regions of fundamental functional importance: the anti-codon, which is responsible for specific mRNA codon recognition, and the 3' end, to which the tRNAs corresponding amino acid is attached (by aminoacyl-tRNA synthetases). tRNAs cope with the degeneracy of the genetic code in two manners: having more than one tRNA (with a specific anti-codon) for a particular amino acid; and 'wobble' base-pairing, i.e. permitting non-standard base-pairing at the 3rd anti-codon position. Lineage: Bacteria; Bacillati; Bacillota; Clostridia. The record is from RNAcentral.